GAGAGAUCACUGAUAGUGUUGUACUAUGUAAUGACCGGCCAUCUAUCACGAGCUAUUUCAUUAUUAAAGGAACUUAUGUGAAAACAUCAUUUACCUAGUCCACAGCCAAGGUCGCUAGAAUUUAAAAACGAAUGUAGACCAUCUCUAGAAUGGUGAUUUUCAAAAUUCUAGAACUGCUUGAGUAACCAUCGAGUAUUCAAAUUUAAAUAAGACCGUUGUGUUUGUUGGUGUUUGUGCAAGUCUGGAAUAUCUUGUAGAGUAAUUAAUGCACUAUAAUCGGAAUAGAAGAUGGAGUUUUUUUUUCUGGCCUUGGAAGAUAAUAAAUUAUAAGCAAGAAAAUC
Molecule: unclassified non-coding RNA, 341 nt
Filed under: Hevea brasiliensis (rubber tree)
Lineage: Eukaryota; Viridiplantae; Streptophyta; Magnoliopsida; Malpighiales; Euphorbiaceae
Source: RNAcentral